GAUGGCUGAUGGAUAGAAAAUAGAUAAAUAUGGAUGCAUGGGUGGAUAUUAAUGAAUCUGCACAGACCCGUGUGUGGAUGGAUGGGUGAUAAAUGAAUAGGUAGGUGGACGGAUGAGUGAAUGGGUAGAUGGGUAGAUGGAUGGAAAUGAACAGAUGGAAAUGGUUGGAUGGGUGGAUAAAUGGUUGGAAGGAUGGAUGGAUGGGUGAGUGGGUAGAUGGAUGAUAAAUGGAUAGGAAGGUGGAUGGAUGAGUGAAUGGGUGGAUGGGUAGAUGGAUGGAAAAACAGAUGGAAAUGUUUGGAUGGGUGGAUAAAUGGUUGGAAGGAUGGAUGGAUGGAUGGGUAAAUGGGUGAUAAAUGGAUAGGUAGGUGGAUGGAGGAGUGAAUGGGUGGACGGGUAGAUGGAUGGAAAAUGAACAGAUGAA
This 424-nucleotide long non-coding RNA is filed under the name Homo sapiens (human). Its description in RNAcentral is "HSALNT0195116". The record is from RNAcentral. Lineage: Eukaryota; Metazoa; Chordata; Mammalia; Primates; Hominidae.